UGCGGGAAUUUGUGGGGUCAUUGCCGACGUCACAAAAUUAAGGUCCUAUUAAUAACACUUUUUGCAUCUUGGCCUUCUCUCCCAUCCCGCUGGAAUCCUGCCAAGUCACGGGCAGGGCUAGGACUCACCGGCUUGAGUCACGUGGCAGUCGGUCACCUGAAAGGGGAGGGAGGAAAAGGGAGGGAGAGGGGGCCAUUCCGGCCAAGGAAACAGAUUCUUCUCACAGGCUAACCCCACACGUGCAUGAAGGGAAUGCCCAGGGAGCUUGUCAAGCCCAGCCCAGGGACCUCUGCCCAAAUCUGAAAAAGGGAAGGGACAGGGACUGUACCCCAUGCUGUUCUGGGGGUGGCGACCUGGGGGCAGAGGGCCGGAGGCUGCUGCCGCCUGCCCGCGAGGCCAUCAGGAGGCCAACGACUGCCCUCUUUUCGGGGACAUCUCUGGCUGCCGGUUGGCCUACAAGACAGUCCGCCUUCUCCGAGCCACCAGGACCGUUGAUUCCCGAGGGGAACAUGGCCAGACCCCCAGGAUGGCCAGGACCACCAAGGUAUCGUCCAGCCCUGGAGACAGAAGAGGCUCCCAGGCCACAGCUGGGCCCGAUGCCAUGAGCUCCCACCCCUUUCCUAGAAAGAAGACCAGGGAGGGACCCUGUUUUCUGGAAAUGGCGUCAAACUCAAAGUAAAGAGACUGUCUCCGGCUCUGCCUUGCCCGUGACCUCUCUGGGCCUCCGUGUCCCUACCUGUGAAAUGAAGGGCUGCCCUGUGAUCCUUCAGGGGUCUUUCUACUUGAUGGAUCUCUGAUAAACUCGUUCACACACAGAGGUGACAACUGAGAAGUCUCCUCGUAUUUUUUUUUUUUUCCUACAAACCUUUGCAGUUCAGCUCUCUGGAUAUUUGAGACAAGCAAGGAAAUAGAAAGUUGGGAAAUUAUUGGUUGGGAGGCAGAUGGACGGAGGCCCUUCAGGUAAACUCUGAGGUAACCUCAUGCAGGGGGCUUCCCAGCUUCCUUUCACGUGUCUAAGAGAUUUGUAGACAUUACGAAGGUUAAACAUGGCUAGAGGGUGAUCACUCUUAUUAACGGUAAAGACAAAAUGGCUUUACAAAUCUCUUACACCUUUGGAAUAUGCCUGAAAACCGAAUGGCACAGUUUGUCAAGUGUCCCCGGUGCGGGUAAGAAAGUAUGGGACAGUGUAGAAUUAUGUGGGAUGGUAUAGAAGAGAAUAGAACAGUGUAGAACACUCUGGAACAGUCUGGAAGAGUAGAGGACUGGGCCAGUCCGGGGGCCGAGGCUCCUGUCCUUCUCUUGGAUCGGCCAUGUGACCCUCGGAAUCUCCUGACCCCGUGUGCCUUGAUUUCCUCCCCUGCAUGCUGGAGUGAUGGUAACCUCACCUGCUGACCUCAUGGAGGCAAAGGAGAGUGGCUAUCCAAGACUGACUAACCCAAGACAAGAAACUCAUUGGAGGCACCAGAGGUGGCAUUCUUAAAUUGUUCUCAUCGAUAGAUUCUGACAGUUUUUGUAUAAAUUUUUAUUUUAUUUUAUUUUAUUUUAUUUUCAACGUUUAUUUAUUUUUGGGACAGAGAGAGA
Molecule: long non-coding RNA, 1581 nt
Organism: Lynx canadensis (Canada lynx)
Lineage: Eukaryota; Metazoa; Chordata; Mammalia; Carnivora; Felidae
Exons: 3
Source: RefSeq, a predicted model, not a curated record